Non-coding RNA from Ictidomys tridecemlineatus (thirteen-lined ground squirrel), 72 nucleotides. Lineage: Eukaryota; Metazoa; Chordata; Mammalia; Rodentia; Sciuridae. The record is from Rfam.
GGGGUUGUGGCUCAGCGGUAGAGUACUUGCCUAGAAUGUGUGAGGCACUGGGUUCAAUCCUCAGCACCACUG